GAUCAUGGCUCAGGACGAACGCUGGCGGCGUGCCUAACACAUGCAAGUCGAACGGAGUUACUUAGGACGGAGGAUUCGUCCAAAGACCUUUGUAACUUAGUGGCGAACGGGUGAGUAAUGCGUGAGCAACCUGCCCUUCAGAGGGGGACAACAGUUGGAAACGACUGCUAAUACCGCAUAAUGUAUUCGGAAGGCAUCUUCUGAAUACCAAAGGAGAAAUCCGCUGAGGGAUGGGCUCACGU
This 242-nucleotide ribosomal RNA is filed under the name uncultured bacterium. RNAcentral describes it as "partial 16S ribosomal RNA". It matches the Rfam family "Bacterial small subunit ribosomal RNA", at positions 15 to 236 of the family's 1533-position model. The record is from RNAcentral.